This 244-nucleotide ribosomal RNA is filed under the name uncultured bacterium. RNAcentral's name for it is "partial 16S ribosomal RNA". It matches the Rfam family "Bacterial small subunit ribosomal RNA", at positions 524 to 765 of the family's 1533-position model. The record is from RNAcentral.
UACGUAGGGUGCGAGCGUUAAUCGGAAUUACUGGGCGUAAAACGUGCGCAGGCGGUUUGUUAAGACAGAUGUGAAAUCCCCGGGCUUAACCUGGGAACUGCAUUUGUGACUGGCAAGCUAGAGUAUGGCAGAGGGGGGGUAGAAUUCCACGUGUAGCAGUGAAAAUGCGUAGAGAUGUGGAGGAAUACCGAUGGCGAAGGCAGCCCCCCUGGGUAACACUGACGCUCAGGCACGAAAGCGUGGG